UACGUAGGGUGCAAGCGUUGUCCGGAUUUAUUGGGUUUAAAGGGUGCGUAGGUGGCUGUUUAAGUCAUGGGUGAAAGCCCUCAGCUUAACUGUGGAACUGGUUUUGAUACUGCAUAGCUUGAGUACGGUUGAGGUAGGUGGAAUUUGGCGUGUAGCGGUGAAAUGCUUAGAUAUCCCAUAGAACACCGAUUGCGAAGGCAGCUGGCUAGACCUUAACUGACGCUGAGGCACGAAAGCGUGGGGAGCGAACAGG
This 253-nucleotide ribosomal RNA is filed under the name uncultured bacterium. Its description in RNAcentral is "partial 16S ribosomal RNA". It matches the Rfam family "Bacterial small subunit ribosomal RNA", at positions 524 to 776 of the family's 1533-position model. The record is from RNAcentral.